UGCAUAACUUUCCUAUCUUUUUUUUUCUUUUUGGAUAUUCAAUGUUCCUCACAAAAAUAAAAGAUUUUCUCUUUAAAUCUCUUAAUCUCACUUCCCAAAUGAUUCUCUAGCUUUCUAUAACCUUGAAAGUGGCUGAAGAAUGAGUUUUGACCGUUGGAGCCUUUGAAAUAGCUAUUAGGAAUAAAAACUAGCUGUUGAAAAAGUACAGAAAACUAAUCAUUAUAGUGCAGUCUCAGGCCACGAAUCGACUCUAUUUUCAUUUGGAGUUGACUCGAUUUUCGAGUUGACUCAAUUUUUAUUUUGAGUCAGCUCGAUCUCAAACAUGUAGAUUCAGCUUUCUAUUUUUUUAAGAGAGAGUUGACUUUUACUGUUCACGAGUCGAUUCAAGCUUUGUGCCAUAUGACACCAAUGUAUCGGAACCGACUCAAAACUUUUUGGAGUCAUUUCAAAAUCUUUCAACUUUAUUCUUUUAUAUUUUUGCCUCUUAAAAUUGAAUUUCUCAACCCUAGUACUUUCAAAUGAUGUUUUAUUCUUUUAAAUUUAUUUUCUUCAUAAUGAGCCAUCCAAACUUGUGAGAAUUUAUUCUUUUAAGUCUUUUAGUUUGGCAUCUUGAGAUGAUUUCCUUCAAGAAUAAUUUCUUUAUUAUGAGCAUCAAAGAAAUCCUACAUUCAUUCUUAAAAAAUAUGAUUAAUAAUUUUUAUGCUCAAAAUUUUAUGAUCAUCAAAAUCAAUCAUAGGAUCAACAAUCUUUCUCUUUUUUAUGAUGAUAAAAUUUUGAGUAUAUGUACAAUAAAAUAUAAUAUAUUUCAACCAAUUUAUAAAUAUGAUCAUGAAGUGAAUAAACGAGCACUUGUUAUAAAUAUAUUCCUUAUGAAUGUUUUAAUUCAUCUUAAAUUCAGAUUUUAGAAAUCAAUGAUCACUCUAAGAAUAUUUGAUACUCAUUUUAUAUGAUUAUCUCCAUUUAAACAAAUGAGCUUUCCAAGUAUUUCAAACAUGUGAUCAAUUUAAAUAAUUCAAGCAUAUACUCAACAUACAUCUCUCUUUUUUUGACAAUAUCAAAAGCUCAAGAAAAAGAUCAAGAAAAAUUAUUAAAAUCAAUUUAAAUAUAAGAAUGUAUCAAAUUCAAAAUGCAUCAAAUUUAGAAAAUGUAUCAAAACUUAUCUCUUUCUUUUUUUUAAGAUAUGUUCAAAAUAUUACUUUCUUUUCAAAAAUUAGCUUGAAUUCAGAUAUCAAAGAGCUUUUCUUUUUUUUUUUAAAUAAAUUUGACUCUAUAAUCAGAUUUUCAAAUAAGUACUUUGGAGCUUUAAGAGGAAUAGAACUUUUCAAAGACUUGAAUGGUAAAAUCAAGCACAAUAUUUAAUUUAAUAUUUAUUAUUUUUUUCUUAAUAAACUUCUGUUAAUUAAAUUCAGAAAAGACAUAUAUCGAAAAUAUAUUAAGCAAAUCAAUGAUAGUAUCAAAAUAAAUAAGAGUAACUUUUUCAAAUUCAUUUCUUGAGUAAAAAUUAUUUUGAUACAGAAAAUUUUAUAAUAAUUUCUCAAAGCACAUCAAAAAUUCUAUAUUAUAUUCAAAUUUUCAAAUAUAUUUCAAAAUUUGAAGUAUGUGUCAAAAUCAUUUCCUUGAGCAAAAUGGAAAAAUAUCUUAAAUUUAGUUUAACUCUAAUUAAUUAUCAAAAAUGAUGAAUCAAUUAAAUCAAGCAAAUCAAAUUGAAUAAGCACAUGAAAGCUCAAAUUAAGAAAAGUAAAAUACAAUGAUUUAAGAAUUUAAGAUCAACAUUCAUUUUUCUCAACACAAAUUAAUCAGAAUUUUCAAUCAAAUCAAGAUAAAGCACUAAAAGCAUUUCUCCCCCUGUUUUUGAGAUUAGAUACUAGAAAAUUUAUUUUUCUUUUAAUAUAUCAAUAAUAUUUUUCUCCUAUGUUUCAUAAUUAAUGCUGCAUAAUUUUACUUUUCAAUUUUUUUUCUCCUUUUUAUUUUAAAUUAAAUAUAUUUAAAUUUAGAUUAUCAAAUUCAAAUAUAUAUUCAUUUGAUUAAUUAUUUUAAUAUUUUCUUUCCCUUUAUCUUGUAAGCAAGUCCGUCUUAGAAG
RNAcentral lists this long non-coding RNA (2080 nucleotides) under Elaeis guineensis (African oil palm). RNAcentral's name for it is "long non-coding RNA (EGUI_LNC024706)". The record is from RNAcentral. Lineage: Eukaryota; Viridiplantae; Streptophyta; Magnoliopsida; Arecales; Arecaceae.